GGAGAUGUAGCUCAAAUAGUAGAGUGCUCGCUUUGCAUGCGAGAGGUACGGGGAACAAUACACCGCAUAUCCA
This 73-nucleotide transfer RNA is filed under the name Nelumbo nucifera (sacred lotus). It matches the Rfam family "tRNA". From Rfam's summary of the family: Transfer RNA (tRNA) molecules are approximately 80 nucleotides in length. Their secondary structure includes four short double-helical elements and three loops (D, anti-codon, and T loops). Further hydrogen bonds mediate the characteristic L-shaped molecular structure. tRNAs have two regions of fundamental functional importance: the anti-codon, which is responsible for specific mRNA codon recognition, and the 3' end, to which the tRNAs corresponding amino acid is attached (by aminoacyl-tRNA synthetases). tRNAs cope with the degeneracy of the genetic code in two manners: having more than one tRNA (with a specific anti-codon) for a particular amino acid; and 'wobble' base-pairing, i.e. permitting non-standard base-pairing at the 3rd anti-codon position. Lineage: Eukaryota; Viridiplantae; Streptophyta; Magnoliopsida; Proteales; Nelumbonaceae. The record is from Rfam by way of RNAcentral.